This is a long non-coding RNA of Eupeodes corollae, 3004 nucleotides long. RefSeq lists it as uncharacterized. NCBI's taxonomy places the organism in Eukaryota, Metazoa, Arthropoda, Insecta, Diptera, Syrphidae. The transcript has 2 exons. The record is from RefSeq and is a predicted model, not a curated record.
UAUUGAGUCGCCCUUUCCUGUUUUAAAUGCUGAACACGUUUCAGAAACUACCUUAUCUGACUGCUUGAAUGGUUUCAUUUUUCACUUAUUAUCAUUAUUGCACUGCCUUACCUUUUCAAUAUGUCAAUGUCAAGUCCGAGCUAUUUGCUGUCAUUGUUUUCACUAUAGAGGAAAUAUAAGAAAUGAAACAUGAAAAUAUAAUAUUUCGUCUACAGCUUUCACAUCCGACAUCGACGUAUGUAUAUUUUAUUAUUAUUAUUAUUAUAACUUUAUUAACAAUAAAAUAUUCAUUUAGAGCAGAUUUAGCUACAGCAUCUGCAACUUCGUUGCCAUUGAUACCUUGGUGCCCUGGGAUCCAUGCAAUUUUUAGUUUUCCACUUCUCGAGAUGAGUUUAUCGCGGAUGGAUUCGAUAAUUUCACUAUUAUUAUUAAUGUUGUUGAUGGCAUUUACAGAGGAUAGACUGUCUGUAAAUAUGAUAGUCUUUUUGUCCUCGGAUUUUUCAAUUGCCAUAAGAAUGGCAAAAGCUUCAGCUGUGAAUAUCGAGGUGAAAAUUGGAAGUAUGCCUUUGCAGAUGGUUGUUGAGUUUUCUGCGAUAACAGCAAAUGAUGUACCGUCUUGUGUUUUUGAGGCAUCAGUAAACAAUAAGUGCCAUCCUUGUUUCUUGUGGCUCUCUGCCAUGUCAAAAAACAUGGCUUUAAAAGCAUCUUUACUGGUUGAUGUUAUGGUGUAUUUGCUAAGGUUGGUGAGAAUAGACUCUUUUGGUAAGUUCCAGGGCGGAUAGGUGGUUGAGUUUACAUUUUGAAUGGCAAUAGGUAUGUCAAGUUCUUUUGCAGAUGUUAAAGCGGAGUUUAACGUUGAUUUAAGUCUUGGGGUUUUCUUUCGUUUUAUAAUUUUUUUGGCAUCGUUGUGAAUAGGUGACCUUCUGGAGCAGUUUAUUUUUUGUAUCGUAGCCGUAGUAAGAUAUUCGAUUCUUUCAAUAAGCUGUGGUAAACCCGCAUCUGUCAAGAGGUUCCGAAUCGGAGUUGUACGAAAAGCCCUCAUACCGCUCCUGAUGGCUGCGUGAUACGGUGUUGUGAUAAGUUGGGUGGAUGACUUCGAACAUUUACCAUAAAUCGCUAAGCCAUAGUCGAUCCUAGACAAAAUAACAGAUCUUAUUACAUUAAUUAUAGUAUUUACAUUGGAAUAGCUGUUUUUAGAGGAAAGAUAUUUUAUCAAAUUAACUCUAGUAGUAAGGCUCUUUUUUAAAUUUGUACAGUGUUUCUUAAAGGUAAAAUUAGAAUCAAAAAUGAUACCAAGUAUUUUAGCAAAGUUAACAUUAAUUAUAUUAAAAUUAUCUAAUUGUAUUGAGAUAUUUUUACUACAACUACAUUUUUUACAGAUAUGGAGAAGCUCACAUUUUUGUAUUGAAAUUUUUGAACCUGAGUAUUGCCCCCAUUCUGAAAGGCUUUGAAGAAUAUUUGUGAAUUUUGAAGCUAGGGACGUUAAGUCUUUGCGCUUUGAGUAAACAAUCAAGUCGUCGGCAUAUAUUGUGUGACCUACAGUGCUGUGACGGUCAACUAUGGAGCUGAUUUCAUUAAAUGCAAUUAUAAAAAGGACGACUGAUAAAGGCGAUCCUUGUGGAAUGCCAUUUUUCAAAUUAUGAGUAGACGAAUAGGUACCAUUCGCCUUAAUUCGGAAAUAUCUAUUGCUUAAGAAUGAUUUAAUAUAAUUCAGCAUUUUGGGCCCAACUCUCCAAUACGGUAAUCAAUACAUUUAUUUUUUUCAAGGAACCAGAACAAUCGUCUGGAAAUUAUUUUUUCUAAGACUUUCCCUGUACAGGGGAGGAGCGAAAUAGGACGGUAUCCUGAAAUAACAGAGGGAUCUUUAUUCGGCUUAGGGAUCAAAACAAUGCUCGCCACUUUCCAUGCAUGUGGGAUUAUGCCUUCGUUAAAUAUUUGGUUGAACAAAUCCAACAAUCUUAGUUUAAAGGCUGCGGAACUGUUUUUUAGCAUGGCAUAAGAUAUGCGGUCGAAUCCGGGGGUUGUGCCUUUAACAAGGCAUAGACAGCUUUCUAAUUCUGUCAUAUUUAAAGGACAUUCAAUUAGAGCUGCUUAAGGGUUAAUAGUGUACGAUGCGAUUACUAAAUUUUGUUUUUCUCUUAUGAAAGUAGGGUGAACAUUUGAGUCAUCGCCGGAAAUUUUCCAUGUUUUUGCAAAAAAUUCGACAAUUUUUUGUGGACACGUGAUAGCUUCCGUUUCAGCUCUAAUAACUUUGAUUGAGUGAUGCAAAUAAUUUCCAGUGAGUGCUUUUAUGUCGGACCAUAGUUUCUUAGAUGUGGAAAUUGGGUUGAUGUUCGAUGUGAACUUUUCAAAACUUAGAACUUUCUCUGUUUUUACAACUUUACGAAACUUGGCAUUGGCUUUACGGUAGGUUACAAGAUUAUUAUCAGUAGGAUGUUUUUUAAAAAGGAAGUUACCUAACUCCUUUUUCCACCAGGGAACAACUUUUUUGUAAGCCUUGUUUGUUGAUUGCGGAAUAGAUACAUUUGCUGCGGAUCUUACACAUUUUUGUAAAAUGGCAGCUUCUUAAUUAAUGACAUGAGAAGAUUUCCUUUGUACAAUUUCUUUUGAAAGAUUUGAUUAUUGAUGAGUUAGCUAAGAAGCAUGAUGAGGAUGCCCUAGACUUUGAAACCAAAGAAGAAGAAUGCGUUAAACAAGGAAAAUGCUAAAAAGUCCGAUCGCUGUCCCCAGAUGAUUUUGAAAAAGAAAACUAUUGCAUCAAGAACAGCGCUACACCACCAGAAGUUGUCCCACAAUAUCCAAUACAUAAGACUUAUUAAGAACCAAUCGGCCUGCUUCCACUUAUAGGACGCUUUGACCGAGGUCCACCACUUCCGAUCUAGGAUUAUUUAGAUCCUUAUGGCCGCGAGAUUUGAUAUAGAGGGAAACUAACCAAAUAUCAGUUUUUAUAACGAUGAUAGUAGGAGUAAAUUUAUAUUAAAGUUUUGUAAAUAUCAAAAUUCAA